Long non-coding RNA from Capsicum annuum, 7742 nucleotides. RefSeq lists it as uncharacterized. The record is from RefSeq and is a predicted model, not a curated record. The transcript is spliced from 3 exons. Lineage: Eukaryota; Viridiplantae; Streptophyta; Magnoliopsida; Solanales; Solanaceae.
CUGAAAAACAAACGAACUCAAAAAUCUACUAUCUACUGGCCCAUCCCAAUCUAUCCUUUUGCAUUAUAUACAUAGUUCUAGGUUUCCUAUAUCCAACUUCAGUCUUUUUCUCUUGAUCAACCCUAUUAUACCUGAAAAAUGUUGUCGCUGCCACUGUUCAACCUUUAGUUUAUCUUGCUCCAGUUUUGGGUGAUAAACUUUGUACCCUUGUUGCUUCUUAUAUCUGCAUAUCUCAGCUUACAAAUAUAAGUAUUGGUGGCUGUCUUUUUCUUUUACUGACUCUUCAGUUUCAGCUCCAUUUUUAUUUUUGUCUUUGUUCUCGUGUUGUGCUCUCCGAUGGAUUGGAAACAAAUCUUCUUUUAUGCUCUGUUGAGAGUUCGUGUCUCGUAAAGUCUAUUACUUUUUUCGGAUAGGGCUGGUAUGGAGAAAAUAGGAUGCUCGAAACCAUAAAUAUUUUGAGAGUAAUAUGACAAACAGGUUUAUCAAAUGAAAUCUGACUAGCUGAACCUCCCCACUUGCUGCGAGUCCUUUUUGUUGGCUAUUGUAGUGUAAGAAAGAUUCUUCACCUGUUAGUAGCCAACAUGGCUUAUAUAUAUUUCCACGUGAAACAAACUAAGGUUUAGCAUCCCCGACUCCUUCACCCUUUUGUUGGUGAUAAUCUUAAGUACGGGCAUUGCAAUUUAUUACUAUUAAUUAUCCUCUUAGCUCUUUGUUAUAACUGUUGGAAACUUGUGAAUGUGAAUUCCCCUUUGUCAAUUGCCAAAUUUGCAUGAUGAUCUGCUAGCUGAUUCCCUUCGCUGUGUAUGUGUUGAAACUGUACUUGUUUGUAUUCAAAUAAUAUCCAUACUUGCUCAAUUAUAUCUGAUAUGCUCAAUGGACAUUCCAACUCUCUGAUUAAUAUUUUCUGCAAAGUUAGAAAGUUAUUCUUAAUAAUGGCCUUGUUGUGUUGUGAGUGACUACAAUUUUUUGUUUCCUGAUAGAUAGCUACUGUCUCUGCUUCAACAUUAGUAGUAUCUUCAGCAUUGUUAGUAUCUUCUAUGUUAGCUCAUUUUGAAUAUAAAAAAUCCCCUUUCAUUUCUUAGACGAAAUGGAUAAGAACUAGUACCUGGAUUACCCCUAGAUGCUCCAUCAGUUUUAUACUUAAUCCACCCUUUCUAAGGAAUUUCCAUAUUAUUCUAGAGACCUUUGCCUUUGGACUGCUAUGUUCAAAUUCCUUUGGAAUAUCUGGCCAUGUAUAUGAAAAAUCUCGUGCUGGUUUUCUAAUUUCAGCAGCAUACCUAGAUUUCUGGUUAUAUUGAAUUCUACCCUCUGAGCUAAAACAUUCAUUCCAUCAUGUUUUAGUCUAUUUCUCUUCUCCAUAGCUCUAGAUGAUAAUACUAGGAAUUGCUUGAAAAUAAGUCUUUUCUCUCUUCCGGACAUUUACAUUCACUUGUGCCAUUAAGGAUUCCCUGAAGCUGAGUCCAUGUAAAUUUGAACCUGCAAAAGAGGAAAAGUUGGAAUAUGUCUUGUUAGCAAUAAAUGAUCUUAGAAACAAAUGGGUUAUGGUUUCUUAUGCUAGAUUAACACAACACCAGCAUUUAGAUGGCCCCUCAACACCUCGUCUUGUCAUAUUUUCAUCCACAUGAACCUUUCACUUCUAUAUCCGCCACAUGUUGAAAGUUAUUUUAAGAGGUAAACCUUUAACCCAUAUCUCUUUAAAAGUCCAACAACUCUUCUCCUUUUUUCUAAUGUAUUUCCAUGCUGAUCUCACUGUAAAUUUUACAUUAGCCUCAGAGAUCUACACAGGUCUAUCUUUCCUUCCUAUAAUUAUUGGAGGCUUGAUUUUAUCUAGAAUACGCCCAGCAACCUCAUCUGGAAAAAUCUCAAUAAUCAGGUGAUCAUUCACUUCCCAUUUAGCAUUGAGUCUACCACAUUUAUAUCUAUCAUCACAAUCUCUAUUCUCCUGAAUAACUAUGUAUAAAUCUCCUACAGCUAUCCAUUUAUCAAACCAUAUACUAGAAUUCCCUCUCCUAAUUUUCCAUAGGAUUUGAUGCUCAACGAAGUCCCUGGCCUGCAACAUAUUUUUCCAUACUUAAGAACCAGAACCAAUUUUCCACCUCACCAUAUUAUGGUUCUCUCUUUUGUAAUACUUGUUUUGCAUAUAAGCUCUCCAAAUAGAUUCUUUUGUUCUAAAAUUUCACCACAACUUGCAAAAAAAAUCAAUUGCCAUAUCUUGCACCAAUCUAAAUCCAUGUCCACCUUCUUUCUCUGGUACAUAUAAGUCUUUCCAUUUUACCCAAUGUCUACUCUUUUCUCCAAAAUAACUUAUCUAGAAAAACUGAGCUAGCAGUCUCUGGAUAGUAGUCAUCACAUUCAAGGGAGGAUUAGUAAUUAAUAGGAAAUGAAUAGGUGUACUUUGCAGGAUAUGGUUGAUUAGUACAAAUAUCACCCCAUAUGAUAACAUCCUUCCUUUCCAUCCUUGCAGCUUGCUACUUAUCUUGUUCAUAAUAUGUUGAUAGAAAUCCUUCUUCUUCCUCAUGUGAAAAUAGGGCAUCCUAGGUAAGAAAAAGAAAAAUAUUUCCUUAGAAUACCAGUAGCCAUUUCUUCCAUCACUACUACCCUGUGAGAUACACCUUUAUAUAUGUAUAUUUCACUCUUCUCCUUAUUAAUAUUUUGCCUGAAACAAGUUCAUACUUAUCUAAAAUUGUUGUUACUCUUUGUAACGUGCCUUGCAUAAUAUGAUCAUAUCAUCUUAAAAAGCAAGGUGAUUAAUUUUUGGGCUUCCCCUUGUCAUACCAAACAUCUUAAACUCCUUUUUAGUGCCAGUGAUUUUAAGGAUCUAGACAUCAAAUCUGCUACCAGAAUAAAGAAACUAGGAGAUUGAGGAUCCCCUUGAUUCAAGCCUCUAUAAGAUCUAAAAAAUCCUUUACGUUGCCCAUUCAAUAGGACUGAAUACAAAUUGUUUCCCACUAAUCUAUUCACUAUGUCUACGAUUAUUUCAUUAAAUCCCAAUUUUUUCUGAACUUUUGUAAGGUAGAGCCACUCUGCCCUAUCAUAUAUUUUCAUCGUGCCAUGCUUAAUGACCAUGUUAGAAAUGAUUUCCUGAACCAUUAUGAUGUUCUUUGCAAUACUUAUCACCUGAACAAAACCAGAUUGUUCUUCUGAUAUAAUCUCAGGUAACAACUUUUUUAUUCUAUCAUGAAUGAGUCUAUAGAAAAUCUUAUUAACAAAAUUACUCUAGGAAAUUUGCCUCAUGUAAGAGAGUGUUCACAACUAAUUCUUUUGGUAACAUUACCAAAUUAGUGUGUGUUGAAUCUUGGAAGCUCAAAUCAACAAAAAAGGCCACUACAAUGUGGUACACAUCUUCUCCAAUAAUAUCACAUGCAUGCUGGUAGAAAUCCCCUGGCAUGCCAUUUAGACCUCUUUAACACUUUUUUUAUUCAAUCCCAUUACUCCUGCCUUCUGAGGUGGUUUUAUAUACUUCAGUGUCAUUAUUAUAGUUUAUUUAGCCUUGUGUUGAGAGAAAUCCGUGUGCUUAAUAUGUUAAUAUUGAUAUAAAUAAGCAUUUAAGUGUCCAAGUGUGCAUUUACAAUGUUCAAGGUAUUUUACAAACAAGUUUAUACUUAAUUGAAUCAUUUAGAGUUAAACCCGGAAAACUAGUAUUACUAGCUUGAGCUAGGUGUGUGUCUAGUUGAUUUCGAUGGAUUUUAAUGUGUUUAAUUUGUUUCAAAUAUUUUAAAUGUGUAAUUAUGUGUGGAAUAACUUGUUUGUAAUUGACAAAGUUUAAUUUAAUUAAGUAAAGUCGGAACAUUGAGUUUAAGAUAAUUAUUAAUUUGCUUUAUCUUAGCUUUUAUUUUGAUUCGUAGUUGCGAAUAUUAUGUUGUUUUGAUCUUUAAUAUGUGGUGUAUUAUAUUGUAGGAGGUUUUUUGAGAUAAAUAUAGUGAUAUAUUGAUAAACUAAAGGUCGAAAAAUCAUUGAAAAUACACUACAAAAGGCAUGGGAAAAGGAUAGGACGUUCAAUACCCGAAAGUUUGUAAGCAAAUUCUAGUGAGUUGAUGUGAAGUCAACACGUCGCAUCGUUGGUCACAUAGUUUACGCUUAGUAGAAUUUUUCAAAACUAAUUUUAGUACACCGACGCGAGACACAACUUUGGGCUGUCAUGAGAUGGCACGCAAUUUAAGAGUAACUUGGACAAGGAUUAGGAUUAUUAUUGGACAGCUGGACAACAAAACAAUUUGGAUAAAGUGGUAAUAUUUCUUGAUACUUAUACAUCACAUAUAAUAUAAUAUAAUAAAAUAUUUAUACACCACACACCUGGGCAAUAUGUCACAAUCUUGGAAUUAAUUAAUUCUUGGACAACGACCUUGAAGCGGUGAUAUGGUGCUUGGACGAAAAAUGUGGUUGCCUCUUCUUUUAAUUAGAUCUUAAAUUUUUAUUUAGUUGUUAAUUAUUCAUUUCAUGUAUUAAAUUAAUUACAUCGUUAUUAUGAAUAUAUUCGGCUAAAACUUCUCUUUCUGGGGUUAAAGCUAAGAACAUAAUUACUAUUAUUUUGCAUUAAAUUUUAUUAAUUUUGUUUAUCAUAGUUGAUAUUUGUUUAUUCUUGAUUUAAUUAUUUUACGGAUUCGCGAUUUUUAGAAUACACAUAUUAUCAACCUUUUAAUCAGGGAGAGGGAAUAGGGAGAUAGAACAUGGGAAUAAAUAAAGUUUGGGUUUUUAUUAUUUUAUAAAAUAAAGAAUUAAAUUUAGUGUCUAGGACAGGGAUGUACUUAGAUACCUUACUGGAUUCACACGUAGGAUAAUAGCUUUAAUUCAGUCAAUUGAUUUAUUACAUCCCUGCUCAAUGAUGUAGUUGUGAUGUCUAUAUUAGGUAAAAGAUUAGACGUUGGGAAACCAUUAUCACACAAUUAACCCUACGAAUCAACAAUCGAGAUAAGCAAAUUAACGAAUGAAAUUCAAUAACAUAGUAUGAUUGUUCAAAGUGCUUUAAUCCUGAGAUUUUCUCUAUCGAUUGUCUCAAGUAUUUUAGUUUACACAUUAUUUACUUUAUUUAUAAUUUACAAAAAUUACAAACUCUUUUUUUGAUUACUUUUUCACUAAAUUAAUCUAGACUGUGAAAUAAAAUUAAAUCAUUGUUAAAUCAAGCCUCUGUGGGAUUGAUACUUGGCUUUAAUUAGGCCACUUUACUACUUGGUAGACUAUGUACACUUGCAUGUGCUCUUGGGUGCUGUCAAGUUUUUGACGCCUUUGUCGGGGGCUUAUUAUUUAGCAAUUUUUUAUUUUAGUUUUACUUUUAGGUUUAUUUGGUUUUUUUAUGCUUGGUCUUGGUUUUGUUAUUGCAGGAAAUAAGUUUUUAGGUUGAUAAGAUAGAAAUGGAUCGGGAGUUGGUAGAACCAAGCUCGAAACCCGAGCAAAUUUACCAUCAACACAAGAGAGAAGCAAUUCUUUUCCUUAGAAUUCCUCAAAACCAAGAAGACCAAGGGUAUACUAUUCCUAUGGAUAAACAACAAAUAGCUGGUAGGAAGGUUAGGGAAGUGGUAGUCCGACUUCCAACAAACUUGACUUCCCUAAUACAAAGACCGGCAGCUUGGGGGAAUUUUGAGUUGAAACACAAUAUUGGUGCAGCUUCUAAUUAGCAGUGGACAGUUUGCAGGGCUUUCACACGAUGAUUCACAAGUCUACUUGUAGACCUUCAUUGAGCUUACAGAUACAUUCACUCCAAGUGAGGUGACUCAAGAUUAUGUGAGGCUAACACUAUUUCCCCAUUCACUUUUGGGGAAAGCUAAAAAGUGAUUGAAUGUGGAGCAGGCCAAUUCAAUCACAUCAUGGGAUGACAUAGCCAGAAAGUUCUUCAUUAGAUUCUUUUCAUCAGGAAAGACUGGGAGACUUCGUAGUGAGAUAGUGAGCUUUAAAUAUAAGCAUGAUAAAAGUCUCUAUCAUUCUUGGGAACGCUUCAAGUCUCUUCUUUGAUAGUGGCCACACCACCAAUAGUACAAUUAGGUACUUGCUCAUUCUUUUGUAGAAGCUCUUGAUCACAAUACAAAGAUUUUGCUAGAUUCACAUGCAAGUUGUCAAGCACUGGAAUUGACUUAUGAUGAGUUAUACACAUUGCUUAACCAUAUAGCACAAGGAAAUCUAGAUUGGCAUUUAGAUUCUAGAAGUACCACAAAAAGAAUUGCUGGUGUAUUGGAGGUGGACCAAUUCACAGCCUUAUCAUCAUAGGUUUUUGCACUACAAAAUUUGAUCAACACAUCAUUCAGCAGCAUGGAAUUGGGAACUACACAAACUACAGCCACAGUCAAUGCUAUCCAAUAAGCCACAGAGUAUGCCCAAGUAUGCAAAGCACUUGAGGGAUGUGGUGGCAAAGAAGGUGAAAUAGUAUAUCACUCAGUUAAGAGUGUUGUGCUGUGAUAACUCAAUAGAUCCCCAAGAAAUUGAAAGAUCAGGGGAAGUUUGCUAUUCCCAUUCAAAUUGGGAGUAAAGAGGUCUAUGCACUUAGUGACUUGGGGGAAAACAUAAAUUUGACGACCCUAUCAUUGUUUAAAACAUUAGGCUUGUGAAAACCACGACCUACUACCGUACUAUUGCAGCUGGAAGAUGGGACAUUUACAUAGCCGAAUGGAAUAAUUAAGGAUGUCCUCAAAAAGGUUUGUAAAUUCAAUAUACUUGCUGACUUCAUUGUUCUUUAUUUUGAGGUAGAUGAACAGGUACCAAUCAUAUUGGUACAUCUAUUCUUAGAAACUGGAGGGGCCUGGAUUGAUGUUAGAGAAGCCACACUUAAGAAGAGGAUAGAUAAUAAAGAGGUGGUAUUUGAUAUUUACAACGAACCCAUUGUAAAACCCCAAAUUAAAGUUUUGUGUGUGAUGAAUUCUAUUGAAGGGGAAAAGUGUAUGGUGGUUAGUUGUAAUACCCCAUACUUUUCCUAGCUUGAAAUUGUCUUAACAAUAUUAGAAUCUUUCUUUGAAAGAUGAAUCCACUUUUGUACAUGUGGUAUUUUAAAGAUUUUUACUUUUCGUUAUAUGAAAAAUUGAAUUAUCUUUCCAAUGAUAUCAACUUCAUCAAAAUUGGACUUCGGAAGAUAAAGUUAUAACCAAAACACAGAAGGUAGUAAAAACUGCCCAGGUGCGACGGUGAGGCCGACAAACCAUCGAACUAGCGAUGGAUCGUUGCCCACGACCGUCACAAGGGAAACAGUGAUGCUACCUUCUGGAUAAGGUGGGAUGGGUAGGUUGACAGACCGUCGAACUUGCGACGGACUGUCGCCCAGGCCGUCGCUACUUAGGCAGUAAGCCCUUUUCUUGGUCCAUGUAUGACAGUCAAAAUGACAGACCGUCGCAAGAGGCAUCGCAGGUCCCGAUUCAGUAAAUUAAAUCCAUUUUAAAAGGGGACUUUUUGGUCUUUUACCACCCAUUUAUAUACCCAAUUAUAUCGGACAAAAGCUUAAAAAUACAUUAUUCUUUCACAAUAACAAAGCUGGGGUUUUCUCUCUAAUAUUAAUCUCCAAGAACAAAAUCCAGAUCUUCUUCGAAAACUAAGAGAUUAAAAUUGAUCAAGCUUAAGAAUUUCAAGAAAAACUCAACCCGGGUAUGCAUAGUGUUCAUUAAUGGACUCCUUUCGUCCAUGAAGUCGAAGAAUCAUAGACUGCUAUAUAAAGGUAGAUGAGGUGGCUUAGCCUGCUAUAUGAGGGUCCCCACCAUUCUCACUAGAGUUACCUGUUAUAUUAGGGUCACUCACACAUUGUCCUUACCAAUGGCACAGCAUUGACA